GAUGAACGCUGGCGGCGUGCUUAACACAUGCAAGUCGAACGAUGAAGCCCAGCUUGCUGGGUGGAUUAGUGGCGAACGGGUGAGUAACGCGUGAGUAACCUGCCCUUAACUCUGGGAUAAGCCUGGGAAACUGGGUCUAAUACCGGAUAGGAGCGUCCACCGCAUGGUGGGUGUUGGAAAGAUUUAUCGGUUUUGGAUGGACUCGCGGCCUAUCAGCUUGUUGGUUCGGUAAAGGCUCACCAAGGCGACGACGGGUAGCCGGCCUGAGAGGGUGACCGGCCACACUGGGACUGAGACACGGCCCAGACUCCUACGGGAGGCAGCAGUGGGGAAUAGUGCACAAUGGGCGCAAGCCUGAUGCAGCGACGCCGCGUGAGGGAUGACGGCCUUCGGGUUGUAAACCUCUUUCAGUAGGGAAGAGGCGAAAGUGACGGUACCUGCAGAAGAAGCACCGGCUAACUACGUG
This 466-nucleotide ribosomal RNA is filed under the name uncultured bacterium. Its description in RNAcentral is "partial 16S ribosomal RNA". It matches the Rfam family "Bacterial small subunit ribosomal RNA", at positions 28 to 507 of the family's 1533-position model. The record is from RNAcentral.